RNAcentral lists this unclassified non-coding RNA (363 nucleotides) under uncultured bacterium. RNAcentral describes it as "contains 16S-23S intergenic spacer region". The record is from RNAcentral.
UCCCCGUUUCACAGGGCAGUCUAGCUAGAUAAAUGCAACUAACUAUAAGGGUUGCGCUCGUUGAUGGACUUAACCAAACAUCUCACGACACGAGCUGACGACGGCCAUGCAUCACCUGUCACUUGGCUCAAUAAAGCACACUUUCCUUUCGGAAAGCUUCCAAGGAUGUCAAACCUGGGUAAGGUUCUUCGCUUACCAUCGAAUUAAACAACACGCUCCACCGCUUGUGCGGGUCCCCGUCAAUUCCUUUAUGUUUUAGUCUUGCGACCGUACUCCACAGGCGGGAUGCUUAACGCGUUAGCUUCGCUACUACGCGGGUCGAUACGCAUAACAGCUAGCAUCCAUCGUUUACGGCGUGGACUA